AGCACUCUACGGGAGGCAGCAGUGGGGAAUAUUGCACAAUGGGCGCAAGCCUGAUGCAGCCAUGCCGCGUGUAUGAAGAAGGCCUUCGGGUUGUAAAGUACUUUCAGCAGUGAGGAAGGUGGGUAUGUUAAUAGCAUAUUCAUUUGACGUUAGCUGCAGAAGAAGCACCGGCUAACUCCGUGCCAGCAGCCGCGGUAAUACGGAGGGUGCGAGCGUUAAUCGGAAUUACUGGGCGUAAAGCGCAUGCAGGUGGUUUGUUAAGUCAGAUGUGAAAGCCCGGGGCUCAACCUCGGAAUUGCAUUUGAAACUGGCAAACUAGAGUACUGUAGAGGGGGUAGAAUUUCAGGUGUAGCGGUGAAAUGCGUAGAGAUCUGAAGGAAUACCGGUGGCGAAGGCGGCCCCCUGGACAGAUACUGACACUCAGAUGCGAAAGCGUGGGGAGCAAACAGGAUUAGAUACCCUGGUAG
This 467-nucleotide ribosomal RNA is filed under the name uncultured bacterium. Its description in RNAcentral is "bacterial SSU rRNA". It matches the Rfam family "Bacterial small subunit ribosomal RNA", at positions 332 to 793 of the family's 1533-position model. The record is from RNAcentral.